This 496-nucleotide ribosomal RNA is filed under the name uncultured bacterium. RNAcentral's name for it is "partial 16S ribosomal RNA". It matches the Rfam family "Bacterial small subunit ribosomal RNA", at positions 28 to 506 of the family's 1533-position model. The record is from RNAcentral.
GAUGAACGCUGGCGGCGUGCCUAAUACAUGCAAGUCGAGCGAACGGACGAGAAGCUUGCUUCUCUGAUGUUAGCGGCGGACGGGUGAGUAACACGUGGAUAACCUACCUAUAAGACUGGGAUAACUUCGGGAAACCGGAGCUAAUACCGGAUAAUAUUUUGAACCGCAUGGUUCAAAAGUGAAAGACGGUCUUGCUGUCACUUAUAGAUGGAUCCGCGCUGCAUUAGCUAGUUGGUAAGGUAACGGCUUACCAAGGCAACGAUGCAUAGCCGACCUGAGAGGGGGUUCGGCCACACUGAAACUGAGACACGGUCCAGACUCCUACGGGAGGCAGCAGUAGGGAAUCUUCCGCAAUGGGCGAAAGCCUGACGGAGCAACGCCGCGUGGGUGAUGAAGGUCUUCGGAUCGUAAAACGCUGUUAUUAGGGAAGAACAUAUGUGUAAGUAACUGUGCACAUCUUGACGGUACCUAAUCAGAAAGCCACGGCAAACUAGGU